CCCAGCAACGCAAUAUGAGUUUCAAUUACAUAAUUAUACAAAUAAGCCAAAAAAACAACAGAAAGAAUAUGCAAAUCAACGAUUAUAAUUACAAAAUUUAAAUUCAGUUACUAUUGUUGGGUCUGAAUGAAAGAGAAAAAAAAGGACCAAGAUGGAGUCAAGGGAAAAAAGAAAAAAAAAGGUAGAGCACACGGAAGCAGAGGCCUAGCAUCAAGAAUACAGAGGGAGAUAGAUCGCUUUCGAGAUUGCACCGCCGAGGAAAUCCGAUCGGCUCACUGCAAACUAACUCUCCAUCACCAUUCUGAGAAUUUCACCCAAUUCGACUUGAGCCCACCCCGAAUGGGUUUCAAUGCUAAAAUCUAAACAGUUCGACUAGAAAUUGAAUAAAUGACAAAAAUUAAUAGACCCAGCAAUCGUUAUUGAAAUCCUAUUAUUAACAUCCAUCGAAACUCCAAUGCUUAGAAUCAAACUGAUGUCCAUUCUGAACAACCAUCAGAGAAGGUUACGAAAGAUAAGCCCUUUGGGAUUUGGGUCGUGGACAUGCGGCGGUGGGCACCAAUGAGGCGAAGAUGACUUUCAGACCAUGAAUGGCUAGCAGCAAAUACAUGCGAUCUCUUAUGCCAAAAUCGAGACACUAGUGACUAUAGUGAGCCAUAAAAGAUGGGAUGGGUAAGCAGAUAGAGAGUUGGCGUGGGAUGAGGUGGGGGAGAGACGGUGGAGACAAGAGUGAACUUUGGGGCUGUGAAUAGUUUAGAUUUUUG
This 761-nucleotide unclassified non-coding RNA is filed under the name Hevea brasiliensis (rubber tree). The record is from RNAcentral. Lineage: Eukaryota; Viridiplantae; Streptophyta; Magnoliopsida; Malpighiales; Euphorbiaceae.